UCAUUAGUCAUCGAUGCAGGCUCUCAAUUCAGCUUGAGAGCCUGUUCGCAGGCUAUGUUGAAACUGGCUCGAAAAGAUUAAGUUAAUCAUUCCAUAUUGUCUAAUUUCCCAAGGAUUUAACGCGGCACUUGCCGUGCGAUAGUAACUUCUAGUUUUAGUUGACUCUAUCACGAAGCCGGCGAACGGCUAAGCGUAGUAGAAUGUAUAUUAAAACACGGCUAAGCAUUUUUUAUAUCAAAAUGCGCAUUAAAAUUCCCCUGUACCAAAACUUUCUGC
Molecule: non-coding RNA, 276 nt
Organism: Paramuricea clavata
Lineage: Eukaryota; Metazoa; Cnidaria; Anthozoa; Malacalcyonacea; Plexauridae
Source: the annotation of a GenBank genome assembly